This 60-nucleotide transfer RNA is filed under the name SAR202 cluster bacterium. Its description in RNAcentral is "tRNA-Val". It matches the Rfam family "tRNA", at positions 7 to 64 of the family's 71-position model. From Rfam's summary of the family: Transfer RNA (tRNA) molecules are approximately 80 nucleotides in length. The record is from RNAcentral. Lineage: Bacteria; Bacillati; Chloroflexota; Dehalococcoidia.
UUAGCUCAGUGGUUAGAGCGCUCGCCUCACACGCGAGAGGUCCGAGGUUCAAAUCCUCGA